This 208-nucleotide long non-coding RNA is filed under the name Elaeis guineensis (African oil palm). RNAcentral's name for it is "long non-coding RNA (EGUI_LNC024394)". Lineage: Eukaryota; Viridiplantae; Streptophyta; Magnoliopsida; Arecales; Arecaceae. The record is from RNAcentral.
UCAUUGAUCCCAUCAAAUCACUUGAAGGUGAAAUAAUUAGCUGAAGUUGCUACAAGCUAGUCCAGCUCUCAUGGGUUCUUUCCUAACAAAUAAUAAAAGUGGUCAAAAUGCACUUUUGCAACUACUUUUCAAGAACCAAAAGGUUGAAACCCAAGUGUGCUUCUCUGAAGUGUAGUUUGAGAAAAUGUACUUUUCAGCCUUCACCACC